CACAAUCUUUCAUUUUCCUUUUCCUCAAUAAGCAUCAUCAAUUCACAUACAAACAAGCAAACAGUAGUUCAUGCCAAACAGACAACAUACAGUAUCAGUUUUUCAGUCAUUCAACCCAUAAUUAAUAAAACAGUAAUAUAUGCAUUCGAAAUUAUAAAAUGAACACAUCAAACCCCAUAAUGCAUUUAAAGCUGUAAAACAGUGUAAAACAUGCCAAACAACAGUAAAUCAUUAAUCACACUAGACUCGGGCUCCAUUAGCAACUUUAAGCAAUUUCACACAUGCGUUAAUUCAAGAAAUACCGUUUUAUCAUUUUGAACUUUAAUACCGUGAUAGGAAAUAGAGUGAGGGGUCCUUACCUGUUUUCGGGAUCCGAAUACGAUUCACAGUGCGCCUGCAGGCUGUCCCUAAUUUUCCCCUGAAUUUUUCCCGGGGAACUGAAACACGCUCACAGUACCUGCACGGGUUCCAAAAAAUCCAAAUUAGGCCCAGGGCCUCUUUCGGCCCAAAUCGCAACUCCGGCACGGCGGCUCCGCCGUGCUCCGGCGACGGCGCCGCCGCUGGCGGCGGCGAGUCGCCUCGGGUUGACUGUUUUCGGCCGUUUUUGGCCGAAUUCGGCCACACUCGCAUUGGUCCUUGUCAGAAAACAACCCUAGGGCCCUCGGGGGGCCAAAAAAUCACGGAAAAACGGAGCUUACCGGCGGCGGCGCUCUCGGGUACGGCGACUCUCC
Molecule: long non-coding RNA, 731 nt
Filed under: Carica papaya (papaya)
Lineage: Eukaryota; Viridiplantae; Streptophyta; Magnoliopsida; Brassicales; Caricaceae
Description: long non-coding RNA (CPAP_LNC008697)
Source: RNAcentral